Molecule: long non-coding RNA, 415 nt
Organism: Portunus trituberculatus (swimming crab)
Lineage: Eukaryota; Metazoa; Arthropoda; Malacostraca; Decapoda; Portunidae
Exons: 3
Source: RefSeq, a predicted model, not a curated record
GUGCCGUGUGCAGCUGUUGCGGCAGGCUACUGCUCAUCGGAGCUAGUUACUAUGCUGAGGCGUCUCCGCAUCGAGUGCACACAACGUCUAAAGUCAAGGAUGACCCCCUCCCCCGGGCACUCUGAAGGAAGGUUGGAGAGGUUUGGGUCAGACAGAGACGAGAAAGAGGCUAGAGAGGAAGAAGGAAGGGAGGACAGCCUCUGAGCGGGGCCGCCUCGGCUAUGUAAACCGAGGAAGCAUGAUCACUUUGUGCCUUAUAUAAACAGUCGUCAAGGAGUGUUCAAAUGCCAGGAAGUGCAUAACGGAAGUCUUCUUCUACGUUCAGCCCGUUUCUGAACUUGGUUUUGACAACAAUGAACAUGGAAAAUGCAGCUUCACAUAUAUACAUGUAUCCAAAUAUAGUUGAAAAAUGUAA